UACGUAGGGUGCAAGCGUUACUCGGAUUUAUUGGGCGUAAAGCGCAUGUAGGCGGUUUUGUAAGUUUGAUGUGAAAGCCCUGGACUCAAUUCAGGAACUGCAUUGAAUACUGCAAGACUAGAGUAUGAGAGAGGUAGGCGGAAUUCUUGGUGUAGAGGUGAAAUUCGUAGAUAUCAAGAGGAACAACAGAAGCGAAGGCGGCUUACUGGAUCAUUACUGACGCUGAGAUGCGACAGUGUGGGGAGCAAACAGG
RNAcentral lists this ribosomal RNA (253 nucleotides) under uncultured bacterium. RNAcentral describes it as "partial 16S ribosomal RNA". It matches the Rfam family "Bacterial small subunit ribosomal RNA", at positions 524 to 776 of the family's 1533-position model. The record is from RNAcentral.